Molecule: long non-coding RNA, 243 nt
Organism: Ixodes scapularis (black-legged tick)
Lineage: Eukaryota; Metazoa; Arthropoda; Arachnida; Ixodida; Ixodidae
Exons: 3
Source: RefSeq, a predicted model, not a curated record
AGACAAGUUUUUGUUUCGUUAAUUGCCUGAGGCCCAAGGCACGGUGUUUUACUGGAACGCAGGUCUCCUCGGAGGAAAACACUAGGCGCCGAGAUGUGCUGGCCUUCCCUUAUGGUCCAGACCAGUUGUUUUCAUCAAGGGAGCAUUGAGAUAGCCCUACACCUCGGAAGAAGUACCCAUAAACGAAUUUUAGAUAUAAUAAAGAGCUAUUACAAUUUCCCUCGUUUUUUGUUGUUUAAAAUA